This 484-nucleotide ribosomal RNA is filed under the name uncultured bacterium. RNAcentral's name for it is "partial 16S ribosomal RNA". It matches the Rfam family "Bacterial small subunit ribosomal RNA", at positions 30 to 507 of the family's 1533-position model. The record is from RNAcentral.
AUUGAACGCUGGCGGCAGGCCUAACACAUGCAAGUCGAGCGGAUGAAGGGAGCUUGUUCCUGGAUUCAGCGGCGGACGGGCGAGUAAUGCCCAGGAAUCUGCCUGGCAGUGGGGGAUAACGUCCGGAAACGGGCGCUAAUACCGCAUACGUUCUGAGGGUGAAAGUGGGGGAUCUUUGGACCUCACGCUAUCAGAUGAGCCUAGGUCGGAUUAGCUAGUUGGUUGGGUAAAGGCCUACCAAGGCGACGAUCCGUAGCUGGUCUGAGAGGAUGAUCAGUCACACUGGAACUGAGACACGGUCCAGACUCCUACGGGAGGCAGCAGUGGGGAAUAUUGGACAAUGGGCGAAAGCCUGAUCCAGCCAUGCCGCGUGUGUGAAGAAGGUCUUCGGAUUGUAAAGCACUUUAAGUUGGGAGGAAGGGCAGUAAGUUAAUACCUUGCUGUUUUGACGUUACCAACAGAAUAAGCACCGGCUAACUACGUG